Long non-coding RNA from Ictalurus punctatus (channel catfish), 3554 nucleotides. NCBI's taxonomy places the organism in Eukaryota, Metazoa, Chordata, Actinopteri, Siluriformes, Ictaluridae. The record is from Ensembl.
CACGGCUGGUAUCUGAUUCCAAACUGAUGAGGAUUAUGUCCAUUUAGCUAUUCGGUGACUACGUUUACAUGGACAGCAGUAAUCUAAUUACUGACCUUACUCUGAGUAAGAUAAUAAUGUGAUUAAGGUGUUUACAUGAGUCGCUUUUAGAAUACUCCUGUCAUCUUCCCGUUUUACGUUAUAGAACAUAAUUAGAUUAACAGCCCACGUCAUUACGUCACCGCGCCACGCCAUCUGACGUCUCUCCAGAAUUUCACGCAUCGACAUGCAGUUGGUCUUCGUUAUGGUACCGUAUACAGUUUUGGGUGUUUUUAUUAAUUUUUUUACGAACGCUUCACGUGCGGUUAAUUAUUCGUCAUGCUGUACGUGCUAAUAGACGACUGCUUGAAGCCUAGGGCUGCGUCUCAAACCGUGUACUUAACGUCUAUAUAGUAGCCGAGAUACAUGUAUUUUUCCCCACUACAGGCCUAUAGUAAGCAGUAGCGGUUUGGGACACAGCCGAACUCUCUUGUUCGCCGUAAAACGUAAAACUGCAUGUGUGAUCGUGUCCUGUCGCAAAAAAAAUACAGUGAAAACUCCCACACGACGUUCAUAAUGUGAUUAAGGUGUUUACAUGUCACUACUACACGUACAUAAUGCGACUAAAACAAGAGUACUCCACCUGUCUUAAUUAGAUUAUUGCUUAAUUCGAGUAUGACCUUAAUUAGAUUAAGGUAAGUAAAAAUUGCUGUUUACAUGCUAGUUUCUUAAUCAGAGUAUUGUCUUAAUCAGGUUAAGAGUGGAUUAUUGUUGUCCAUGUACACGCAGCUACUGUGAGGAUAUCACACUCAGGCUACGUCAACAUUAAUCAGGACAGACCCGAAAAUAGGUCGUUUUCAUUUUAAAAACGCUCUCCGUCUACACUGGGCUUUUUGAACGCUUUCCAAAAAAAAAUCCACACUGAAACACCUGAAAAUGCUUACAUCCCUAUACCGCUCAUGUGUAAAAACGUAAGAAGCUUCGGCCUGCGUCAUUUCCCUCGGGCGUUAUUGAAAAAUUCAAAGUGGACAGCAGGCACGACAAUUGCAGUGGAACAUCGUCCACCAUCUUGUUCAUUUUGACUUGAGUGGGUCACGUGACUAAAACGACGCCAUUUUCAAAUCGACGGUUUUCCAAAAGUUUAUCCCGAUUAAUGUGGACGUCUCCAUAGCCAGCGAGAUUCCGAUGUCUUUCGGCAGACUGGCUGUGUUUGCCACCAUAUUUGAGGUGUUAUCGGCAGGAAAAACUCGAUUUUGACCAAAACAUGAUUUUUGGAUAUUUUCCCGUAACAUUCGCUGGGUUUUCCCAGAUGCUGAACAUCAACUUGAGGCACUCUCUACAAAUGUAAUACCAACCAGUAAUCUGUCUUAUUAGAACAAAUCCUUAAUAGAAUUUUUUGUUUCCCAGAACAUUGCAGGAACACUUCUAAGCAUUAUGCAAAAAAAAAGUCCUCCGAACAUCUCGACACACUGAACGUUCCUCAGCGUUCUAAAACCGUCGGAUUUCAGAGGUCACCUCAUGAUGAAUUAAAGCUGGAGGAUUAUUUAAAUAUAAUUAAAAUGUCAUUUUAGCUGUACCACAGAGUAGUUUGUCAAACCUUUUUAACAAUUCUAGCACUAGUUAGAACUGCGUUCAAAACUUUGAUGGGAUACUACUAAGUUACAGAGACUAGACAUAGAUGCUAGCUUACUAGUUAUUAGCAGCUGUCACAAAAUAGACACAAAUGGAUGUACAGUUUCAAUCACCAUAAAAUUAAAAAAAAAAAGGAUAACAAACAGAAAACAAAGCUCUGGACAUCUGGACUGGAUUGGAUUGUGGAUCCAUGGUGGCUCCUGCAUUGGUGGUGAAAUCGGAUGUAAGGGUGACUGUCUAAUAUUAGCUCUCAAUGAUUAAAACAACGAUUUUUCACUGCUGUUGUAGUAUACGAGAAAUAAAAGACUCUGAGAUGUGCCGUUCUAGGAAAAGAAUCAACGCUGAAGUGUUUUAUUCCUAUAUUAGAAUGGAAAGGUGAUGAAUAGGUGAAGAGCGGGCCGUUAAUACGGAGUCUUCUCAUGAAUAUUUGAACGUAGCAUAAUUGUAUCUUCUGAUUAGUGUCAAUGAACGUCAAGUCUUCAUGUUAUUCUGGGUUUUGAGGAAAUGAUGAAACUCAGGCAGCGGUUUAUGAGCUUUUUAUUAACCACACUGCUUGUACUGUAUGUUGAUUAAAUCACAUCGGAAAACCUCUUCAUCAACUCCCUGCCAGUCUGCCUGCAGAUAGAAAGCCCCCUGCCUUUAUUAGCUUUCUCAUUAGUGACAGUACAGCACCUCAAUUAAGUCUUAUCACUUCUUUUUGUAGAGGCAGGAAAUGAAACACUCUGAUCCAGAAUGUUCUCUACCCUCCACAAAGGUUGUCCCGAUGUCUGAGAGUGCGUGUCGUGGGUUGGACUAGUGUGUGCCAGGCUGCUCUGUAUUCAAGGUGUGUAUGAGUCGUGACUCAUGUUAGUAUCCGUCAGGGUGUUGUGCGUGCUGAUUGGCUAGGUCACGGAGUCUCUCCGGCCAAUCAGAAGCCACUGAGAUGACCGCUGAGGGAUACAGGACACACAGAGACGGCUGUAUCCAAGCAACACCCUCCCAGCAUCAGAUAAAGACCUUAUAGGACAAACGGUGUUCAGGAAAACUCUCUCUCGUUAUAACAAAGACAAAACUCUUACAUGAAAUAGAAAUAUAGAAGAGCUUGUUGUAUUUCUCAGUCUCUUUUCUGUGGCUUUUCUCACGGUGAAGUCUCAACUCAACUCCAAACUGACCCGUUUCAAUUUAUUCAUCAGGUGCGCCUACAUAGCAGCUUCAAAAGAUGUAGUUUAAUAUUUACAUAUAAAUAAAUAAAUAAAUAAAUAAAUAAACAACAAACAAAAAUGACACAUAAUUGUAAAAUCAUUCUUUCUUUAUCUUUAUUAAUUUAUUUAGUCAGUUAGUUAGCUAAUUAUUCUUUUGUAAAUGAACAAUUAAUUAAAAAAUAAUAAUUCACCGUUAAUAAAUUAAAAAUGUUAUCUUUUUUUUUUUUUACUUAUUCUACCCACAGUGUUCCCAUUUUAUUCACAUGAUCCUUUUAAAAAAAAAUAAAAACAUCACAAAUGUGUAUUUUUGCAUAUUUUUCUAGAUGUAUUUCUAUAUCUCUGUGUCCUCAUUUCUAUUUUCUUUUCUUUUUUUGUAAAUAUAAUGUUUCUAAAAUAUUUGUUUGUCUUUUUGAAAUGAGUAAAGCAUUAAAAGAAAAUAGAAUAAAAAAUAAACAACUUGUUCCUCUACUACUACUUUCAAAUAUACACUCCUCUACAACUACUACUGAUUAUAAUAAUAAAAUUAAACGGCGGUAUUCAAAUUGCUCAAUAGCGAAGAUAUCAUCGGCGAGACUUAUGUAAAGACUUAAAUAAAUAAAAAAUAUCUCCUGGCCGUUUGGUAACACUUUGGGUUGUAAAAAAAUUAUUGCUUCCUAAAUUUGAGGUGUCAGAAUAUGUUAUACACAGUAUGUUAUAGUUAUGUUAUAUAUGUUAUCUCUCUCU